Molecule: ribosomal RNA, 253 nt
Filed under: uncultured bacterium
Lineage: Bacteria
Description: partial 16S ribosomal RNA
Rfam family: Bacterial small subunit ribosomal RNA
Source: RNAcentral
UACGUAGGGACCGAGCGUUGUCCGGAAUCAUUGGGCGUAAAGAGCGUGUAGGCGGCCUUUUAAGUCCUGCGUGAAAUCCUGCGGCUCAACCGCAGACGGUCGUGGGAAACUGGAAGGCUAGAGUGCGGGAGAGGAGAGUGGAAUUCCCGGUGUAGCGGUGAAAUGCGUAGAUAUUGGGAGGAACACCAGUGGCGAAGGCGGCUCGCUGGACCGGUUCUGACGCUGAUGCGCGAAAGCGUGGGGAGCAAACGGG